This is a regulatory RNA element of Cavia porcellus (domestic guinea pig), 46 nucleotides long. It matches the Rfam family "Histone 3' UTR stem-loop". From Rfam's summary of the family: The mRNAs of metazoan histone genes lack a poly-A tail. 3' end processing occurs at a site between a highly conserved stem-loop (modelled by this family) and a purine rich region around 20 nts downstream (the histone downstream element, or HDE). The stem-loop is bound by a 31 kDa stem-loop binding protein (SLBP - also termed the histone hairpin binding protein, or HBP). Lineage: Eukaryota; Metazoa; Chordata; Mammalia; Rodentia; Caviidae. The record is from Rfam.
CCAAAGGCUCUUUUCAGAGCCACCCACAAUCUCAAUUAGGAGCUUU